Molecule: ribosomal RNA, 443 nt
Filed under: uncultured bacterium
Lineage: Bacteria
Description: partial 16S ribosomal RNA
Rfam family: Bacterial small subunit ribosomal RNA
Source: RNAcentral
CCUACGGGAGGCAGCAGUGGGGAAUAUUGGACAAUGGGGGGAACCCUGAUCCAGCGACGCCGCGUGAGUGAAGAAGUAUUUCGGUAGGUAAAGCUCUAUCAUCAGGGAAGAAAGAAAUUACGGUACCUGACUAAGAAGCCCCGGCUAGAUACGUGCCAGCAGCCGCGGUAAUACGUAGGGGGCAAGCGUUAUCCGGAUUUACUGGGUGUAAAGGGAGCGUAGACGGCGAUGCAAGUCUGAAGUGAAAGGCGGGGGCCAAACCCCUGGACUGCUUUGGAAACUGGAUGGCUGGAGUGCAGGAGAGGUAAGUGGAAUUCCUAGUGUAGCGGUGAAAUGCGUAGAUAUUAGGAGGAACACCAGUGGCGAAGGCGGCUUACUGGACUGUAACUGACGUUGAGGCUCGAAAGCGUGGGGAGCAAACAGGAUUAGAUACCCCAGUAGUC